ACGCUAGCGGCAGGCCUAACACAUGCAAGUCGAGGGGUAACAGGAAAGCUUGCUUUCGCUGACGACCGGCGCACGGGUGCGUAACGCGUAUGCAACCUACCUCAUACUGGAGAAUAGCCCCUGGAAACGGGGAUUAAUACUCCAUAGUAUCAUUUUUUCGCAUGUUUGAAUGAUUAAAGAAUUUCGGUAUGAGAUGGGCAUGCGUCCCAUUAGCUAGUUGGUGAGGUAACGGCUCACCAAGGCUACGAUGGGUAGGGGGCCUGAGAGGGUGGUCCCCCACACUGGUACUGAGACACGGACCAGACUCCUACGGGAGGCAGCAGUGAGGAAUAUUGGUCAAUGGAGGCAACUCUGAACCAGCCAUGCCGCGUGAAGGAUGACGGCCCUAUGGGUUGUAAACUUCUUUUGAAUAGGAAGAAACUUAUCUACGUGUAGAUAACUGACGGUACUAUUAGAAUAAGGAUCGGC
Molecule: ribosomal RNA, 468 nt
Filed under: uncultured bacterium
Lineage: Bacteria
Description: bacterial SSU rRNA
Rfam family: Bacterial small subunit ribosomal RNA
Source: RNAcentral